GGAGAGGUGGCUGAGUGGUUGAAAGCGGCAGUCUUGAAAACUGUUGUGGAUAUUUUAUCCACCGUGAGUUCAAAUCUCACCCUCUCCGCCA
This 91-nucleotide transfer RNA is filed under the name Candidatus Omnitrophota bacterium. RNAcentral's name for it is "Candidatus Omnitrophica bacterium (aquatic metagenome) tRNA-Ser". It matches the Rfam family "tRNA". From Rfam's summary of the family: Transfer RNA (tRNA) molecules are approximately 80 nucleotides in length. Lineage: Bacteria; Pseudomonadati; Candidatus Omnitrophota. The record is from RNAcentral.